Molecule: ribosomal RNA, 766 nt
Filed under: uncultured bacterium
Lineage: Bacteria
Description: bacterial SSU rRNA
Rfam family: Bacterial small subunit ribosomal RNA
Source: RNAcentral
GCUAGCGACAGGCCUAACACAUGCAAGUCGAGGGGCAGCAUUGGUACUUGUACCAGAUGGCGACCGGCGCACGGGUGCGUAACGCGUAUGCAACCUACCUCAUAUAUUGGGAUAGCCCUAAGAAAUUGGGAUUAAUACCAAAUAUUAUAAUCUAUCCACAUGGAUUAAUUAUAAAAACUCCGGUGAUAUGAGAUGGGCAUGCGUGACAUUAGAUAGUUGGUUAGGUAACGGCUCACCAAGUCUACGAUGUCUAGGGGUUCUGAGAGGAAGGUCCCCCACACUGGUACUGAGACACGGACCAGACUCCUACGGGAGGCAGCAGUGAGGAAUAUUGGGCAAUGGAGGCAACUCUGACCCAGCCAUGUCGCGUGCAGGAAGACAGUUCUAUGAAUUGUAAACUGCUUUUAUACGGGAAGAAACCGGGGGACGUGUCCCCCUUUGCCUGUACCGUACGAAUAAGCAUCGGCUAACUCCGUGCCAGCAGCCGCGGUAAUACGGAGGAUGCGAGCGUUAUCCGGAUUCAUUGGGUUUAAAGGGUGCGUAGGCGGAAUAAUAAGUCAGGGGUGAAAGUUUGCGGCUCAACCGUAAAAUUGCCUUUGAUACUGCUAUUCUUGAGUACACACGAGGUAUGCGGAAUGUGAUAUGUAGCGGUGAAAUGCUUAGAUAUAUCACAGAACACCGAUUGCGAAGGCAGCAUACUAGAGUGUCACUGACGCUGAUGCACGAAAGCGUGGGUAUCGAACAGGAUUAGAUACCCUGGUAGUCC